UACAUAGGCUUCAAGCGUUGUCCGGAUUUAUUGGGCGUAAAGAGUUCGUAGGCGGUCGAGUAAGUCGGGUGUGAAAAUUCUGGGCUCAACCCAGAGACGCCACCCGAUACUGCUUAACUUGAGUUCGAUAGGGGAGUGGGGAAGUUCCUAGUGUAGCGGUGAAAUGCGCAGAUAUUAGGAGGAACACCGGUGGCGAAGGCGCCACUCUGGAUCGACACUGACGCUGAGGAACGAAAGCAUGGGUAGCAAACAGGAUUAGAUACCCUGGUAGU
This 272-nucleotide ribosomal RNA is filed under the name uncultured prokaryote. RNAcentral's name for it is "partial 16S ribosomal RNA". It matches the Rfam family "Bacterial small subunit ribosomal RNA", at positions 524 to 794 of the family's 1533-position model. The record is from RNAcentral.